This 253-nucleotide ribosomal RNA is filed under the name uncultured bacterium. RNAcentral's name for it is "partial 16S ribosomal RNA". It matches the Rfam family "Bacterial small subunit ribosomal RNA", at positions 524 to 776 of the family's 1533-position model. The record is from RNAcentral.
UACGUAGGGUCCGAGCGUUGUCCGGAAUUACUGGGCGUAAAGAGCGCGCAGGCGGUCGUUCAAGUCGCGUGUGAAAGCCCCCGGCUCAACUGGGGAGGGUCACGCGAUACUGAUCGACUCGAAGGCAGGAGAGGGUAGUGGAAUUCCCGGUGUAGUGGUGAAAUGCGUAGAUAUCGGGAGGAACACCAGUGGCGAAGGCGACUACCUGGCCUGUUCUUGACGCUGAGGCGCGAAAGCUAGGGGAGCAAACAGG